UGAUUUAUGGGGGUGUAGAGUGAGUUCCCUUCCCACGAGAGAAAAUUGCUGCAGUCCAAAUGAACAGCAAGUGUAGAAUCAUGUUUGUUUAUAUGAUAAUGAUGGCGGCAACAGUUUCAGGAGGCUCACUUAGCAACAUUAUUGGAAGCAUCAACAGAUUCCUACUUGCAGAAGGUGGUGAAGGUGAAUAGAAAGCUAUUAUUGUAGAUCAAGAGAUGGUCAAACAUUUAGAAGUCAGACCAGAAGAUAAGCAUAUAAAUGGGGAUCCAAAAAUCCAAUUCACAACCAGCCGUUAAUCCAACGCAAGCAAGAACUGCAUUCAAGAAACUUACAGGGUUUAUAACAUCGAUCCAAUCUUUAGACAGCGACUCCACAAAUUCUCCUCCUAUGAGAUUCCGGACCUUCGGCUGCAAAUUACUCAUCAAGUCAAUCCUUGAAUUCAGAAAAGACGAGAUGUGUCGCCGAUAGAAUCAAAGGCAUUGAUUAGAACAAGGAUGGAAUUACCCGAUGAGCAGUGGAGCAACGGACCCCGAGGACGGGGGCAGGAGACCGCCGUGGCGCAGAGGAAGGAGAGGACAGAAUGCGUCAGAUAGAAGGGCGGGGAGGAGAGAGAUCGGUGAUCAAUGGAGUAUGGAAUUAGGGUUUCGGGGAGAGGGGAAGAGAAGAGGAUCGGGGGGUUAUUACCACCCGCGAAGAGGAGCGCAACAUACUCGACGAGAGCCGACGACGAAGAGUGCCGAGUGGAGGCGCCAUUUAUCUACAUAAAGCGUCAGCUACCUGUUUAAGCGCACGCGACAACCUACCUACCUACCUACCUUAAUGAUGUCAUCUCCACGGGGACCCGACGACCUACCAUAAGCAUUCACGAGGCUUCUGGCUAAACGAACGGCUAAUUAUAUAUUAACGUUUGUAGUUUUAAUAUUUCGAUCUAUAGAUUUAAAAAAAUUAUAUUAGAAUCUCUAUAAUUAUAAAAAUAAAAUAUAUUAUCCUAAUAUUAUCAAUUUUAUCGAUAAAAAUAUAAAAACGAUGAGCAAAAAUAUAAUUUUAAUAUACUAAUUAUAUUUUUGAUGAUGAUGAAUAACGAUGUUAUUAGGGGUCGUGAGUGGCUAUUGUGGAUAAGAAGAAAGAGCGGUGAUAAGAGGUGAGGUGACGACGCAGAUGUCAAUAUCACUUGCAAUUGCUUGGGGCCAAUGCAGAUGCAGAUAAUGCGAAAGGGUCACUCAACAUGUGCAUCGACGCUACGAAGAUGUAGUGCAAUGUCAACGUAGAUGUAAAGUGACACUAACACAUAUGCAUAUAUAAAGUGACAUCACUCAGUAUAUAUAUCAGCACCAAUAUAAAUGCAGAGUGACAAAAGGGUCAUUCAAUAUUUACAUCGACGUUAACGUAGAUAUAGAGUAGCAUUGUCAUUCCCUGCAUUAUUGUUGACUCUGAUACAGAUACAGAUCAUCGGGAUUUAUGUCAUCGUCGACCUCCAUAAAAAAAUAUUUUUAUGCUUUCGUCGAUAAAACCAAUGAUACUAGGAUACAUAGAGCUAAGUGUUUCACUUUGGAUUCAAAUAUAAAUUUUUGAAGUGUAAAGAUCGGGAUGUUAAAGAAGUUUAACUAUAAAGAAUAAUAUAUAAUUAGCCCCUUAGCAAGCGACAACCAUCAAACUAUGUGUUAUUGUUUCUUUACACAUAUUGAUCUUUCAAGGGCGCACUAAGACAGUUAGGCGAUGGGAUUUUCAACUUCUAAGGCAUUCGUGUCCAAAGUUAUACUUUGGACAUCUACAUCGUAAAUAUAUUUAAAUUCACAAAGACAUUAAUCUGUCAAAAAAAAAAAAACAAAGUUUCUUAGUCAAGAGUAAUUAUCUAUCAUCGACAAUUUAGUCGAAUAAACAUUUGAAUAGACUUAUCAAAGUAAAUAAUUUGAAUCAAUAAUUUAAGCUUUACAAUCAAUACUAUAGACUUUACAAUAACAACAUGGUUUUAAAAAAUAAUAAAAACAAUCAAUAAAAAAAAUAAGACAACAUGGUUCUGUUCAUUCUCAAGUGGCAGAUUACUCCCUCAACUCAAAAUCAUAUACAGCUUCAGAUACUUGAUCUGGCUACUCACUGCAUCGGAAGACAAUAGGACUCGUUGUCAUAGGUAUACUCGUAUGCGAGAUCUUGAGCUCGACGCUUAAAUUCUUGCAUGUUCUCCUUUGGCACUUGGAUGCCUACUAAGACAUUUGCACCAGUCUCACCCUAUCAAAAAUCAGACAAUAAGGAUACACAAUUAAGUCACCGUAUUUGAUGAGCUUCUUAUGGAACUCCAAGAAACCUCCAUCACUGGAGGUGAAACUGUUUAAUCAUCUUUCGUCACAUCUUCUGUUCGUUUUGUGAGUUUAGCAGAAUGAAUCUUGUACAGGUUAUUGUUCACUUUUUGCCUCAAAAAAAUAAAAAGAACAUGCCAUUGCAUUCUUCCAUAUAUAAGGUUUUCAUUGUGGUGUAUCCAAGGUACUGGUAACAAAUAAGUAAUAAUCUCACGAUCAGCAUAAAGUAGAAGAGGAUAAGUACCAAACCUGUGCUCGAUAAUGGAACAAGCUGAUUUUCCAUCGUGGACUAAAUGAGUCCAAGAAUUUAACAAGAGCACCUGGCCUCUAUAGGAAGAUAAAUCGGCAAAGUAGUUCAUCUUGCACAUUUGACCAGCCUCCUAUCUGAAUAGGUAAGGAAGACGAGUUUAAGAGUUUAUACCAUUACACAGUACGAAGCUUUCAUAAAACCAUACAUGUACCAUCUCUGUUAUCUAUAUGCAAAAUGAAUAUUACUGUGGAACUGUCAAAAAUGUGUUGGUCUUUUUGAAGUUCAAACACUAAUUGACAAGUCUAAACAGGGAUAAGCCCAAACCUACCAAUAUGGUAUAAGAUAAACCCAUUUCAAACUCAACAAAUGUAAAUUUUGGAUAGAGGUGGCUACAAUAUAAGACUACACCACUUACAGCAAACAAUUGUCAAUAUCAGUAACUUGAUGAAUUGCCCUUUUGGAAAGCAGGCAUUCAAACAGUAUACAGCCAUUUAAAUAUCACAUGAUACCUUUGUGCAAUGCCAAGUGCAUCGAGUAACUGAAGAAGGAAAAGAAUAAAAAAUAAAUGAAAACAAUGAGAUGCUUUUGCCAUCACGGUUUGUUGGGGUAGGGAAGAAAAUAUUUUCCAAGAUCCAAGUAAAGGACAGAUCCAAUCACUGAAGAGUUUCUCUUGAAAAUCAAAUAUUUUACAGUGACAUCUAUAAUCAUUUAUUAAGUUUCACUGUUAUGGAACUUAUUCUAUACAAGUGAUAUCUCUCCAGGUUUACUGUCUGUCACCUUCCCCUCUGUGCCUCCUCUUUUGUUUUUUUGUAUUACAUAAUUCAGGCACUUUAUGAAAUAAGUUUGACAGUCUCUCUGUCUUUUGGCUCAGAAUAGAAAAACAAAAGAAAACCCCACAUUCAUUUAUUUAUUCUUUUUGGAAUCAUGUAACAUCAGCUUUAGCUAAUAGGAUAGCAAAUGCCAAGUAUAUUAAGUUAUUAAAAGCCAAGUAACUUACAAAAUACCUCAGAUGAUCCUUUGCCAAGUCAUAAUUAGUAAGAUUGAUAGUUUGAAAUUGUGCAGAUUUCAUUCGGUUCACCAUGGCUCCUAGUUCAGUGUCAGUAUGAAGUCCCACACUGCAAUAUCAAAAGACCAAUUGGCUUUAACAAGAGAGCAAAACUUUUUACCACCACAUAAAGUGCAAGACUGCAUUUAGAAUAAGAUAUUGAAGGAAUGAAAGAACAUCUUACUUGCCUGUAAAGAACAAGAGCAUCUUCUCUACAUGAAUCAUAUCUGUAUUUGACCUCUGUAAUAUUCAUAGAGCCUACCUGCAAGGCUCUCCUGUGUCUAGAAUUUAGAAGUCAAACACUAAAAAUAAAGUAGAUUAAAGUAAUGUUUGCAGAUUACCAGUUUACAGAAUGUCUUAAAAACUCCCAUGCUCCUCUGGUAGAAUAGUUGCAAGCAUAGCCUCACGUUUCCGACCAACAUCAGCAAGUCCAGUUACCAACCUCAGCCUAUCAAAGUUCAUGUUUGCUCCACUGGUUAUUGCAACAACAUUUGUACCUUUCAAACCAUAGUAUUUGCAGUAUGCUUCUGCACCAGCUAGAGAGAGUGCACCAGCUGGUUCUAGAAUGCUCCUUUUCUCCGCAAACAUAUCCUGUAUUUGAAUGUAAAACUUUUGAGUGAUCCAACAUCAACUAUUUUGAAAUUAUACAUUAGUUGCAAGACAGCCAAAAAUUAACAAGUGGGCAAAAGCUAAUGUUCACAAUGUUAGAAAUAAUGAAACAACAUGAAACACAAUGUUAGUUGCAAGACAUGUUUGAAUGGUGUCUUUAUUAACGGUCAAAACUUGUUAAGUGUCAACCCUCCUAACAGCCAGAGACUCGAGAAUCAGAAACAGGAUUUAAGUAUAUUCACUGACAAUAUACAAUUGUAAACAAGACACACCUUAAUAGAUGCACAAAUAGCAUCACGACUGACAAGAACCACUCCGUCAACAAGUUCCCUGCACAAAUGAAAUGUCUCUUCUCCAACUACUUUUACAGCAACACACCUACAUGCUCUAGCAUCACAGCCACCGUCUUCUGCUUUUUUCUACAAUAAUGCUUCUCAAAGAUCCGGACUUGAACACACAUUCAGAUGUUAACCACUGGAAACUGGUUCAAUCACCAUAGCAGGUCAUUUAGAAAGACUAGAUUUGAAGAGUAGAGACAAGGAGAGUGACAAGAUGGGGUUGAGGCCAACAACGACAACGAAUUCGAAGGAGUGACGGUAGGAGGAGCUAAUCCGAAGCUUGAUGCAGUGCUUGAUGAAUGGGUUGGACGUGCUUGUUAUCCUUGAGGGCUACCCCAGGAAGGAAAGAGGAGACAAAGACCAGGAUGAGACUAGUUUCGUGUCCUCUUCCUGCUGGAAAGGACACGAAACUGCAAGUCGGACACCAUCAACAUCAUAGCCACCGUCUUCUCUUCUUGCUCUCCUUUGGAUGACACGACAGAAGUAACACCAGCUGUAGUCAUUGGGUUGGGCCAAAUAAGGUCCAUAUGUGGUUCGGCCUUGUUCUGAACCAUCUUCAAAUUAAUUAAUUUGCACAUGUCAUGUCUACAAAGCAUAGUAAUCACCUAUCCAUCUGGUCAAAUCUCAAAUCAAUCGAUCAAGUAUACGUAUAACUGUAUGAUAGGCUAGAAAUAUAUCACAUAUGGAUAAUAUUAUAUAAAUAACUUUUAUAAUGUGAAAGAGGACAAUAAGACAUGUUGAGGUGAUGACAGAGUCUAAAAGGUUUUCUUCUCUUUCAUCCUUACAAUAAAAUAAAAGACUCAAAUGCUUUAAAAAAAUCAUAUAUUUCUUAUAAUAAAUUAGACUAAGAUUCAAAUGAAUUAAUUAGUGAACCAGGCCAAUUGAUGUUUUGAUUCUCAGUUUAAACCAUCCAAGUGAUUGGUUUGAUCCGGAUUUUAUAACUGUUAUAGAUGCACAUCUUGAAAAAUAACAAUUUUUCAUUGUUCAUUUAAUUUAUUUGAUCUGAACCAAAAAUAAAAAAAUCCCUUGUUUGGCAACAGAAAUUUAAGCAAAACCUACACUACUCAAAAGGCUUAAAGGGCAUGUGGAUUAGUGUCCCCAGCAAUUGCGUGACACAUUUAUCACACAAUACAAAGCUCAUCACCUAGUUGUGGAGAGUAGGCCACGGAGAGAAUACUUAAGUCGAGAAUUGCAUGUGCAGAUUGAACAAAUAUUUUAAUAGCAAGUGUUUUACUAGGAAACUAAGUGCCAAGAUAUAAUGAAAGCAGCAACAUGUCAUAUCAAUAAUAAUUAUCUUAAAGGAACUCUUUGGGAUGGAUAUGAUCACCUGACUGUGUUUGCCAUGCCACCUGGAUCACUCAGAAAGAAGUUGACUUUGGAGGUAAAACAUGAAUUAUAUCCCUAGAAAUGGAUAUGAUGUCCAGGACGUAACGCCAUGUCUAUCUGCAAACAAGCUGACAUGAUAGCAAAACAUUAUACAAAUUUCCCCAAGGUCAACUAAACUCCACCACUACAAAUUAAAGAGAGUAUUGUUGCUCAAUUCAAGCCAGCCUUCGUCACACCUUAACCCAAUAUCCGAAGGUUAUCAAUUGGUAGGCUUAACUAUUGUACUGGUUAAUCACAAAUACCAAGAGUUUAAGCUUUUAGAAAAGGACCCUCUUCAGCAUCUCUUCUCAAGAGCAAACCAGUUAGGUUUGACGUGUGAAUGAAACCCAAAUGUUAUACUUGUGCAAGUCCAAAUAAUGUUUGAAUUACCUACUCUAUAUUUUUAAUUGAACACAGGAAAAGAGAGGACAGAUACAGGAUUCAAACUCAUGAUCUACUCUAAUUCUAUCUUCACGUUUGAAUUGUGUAAUCAUAAAUUUAAAAAUCUUAAAUUUUAGGAAAGAAAAGAAUCCAAUAUAUGCUUUAAGAUCCUGACAACAUUUACAAGUAGGUGAGCAUGCAAGAAACCGUUCAAUACUUACCAGACUUGCAAGCAUGCAAUCCACACUCUUGCUAGAUAAAGAGGCUAACAUUUACAAGAAGGUAAGCAUGAAUAAAAGAGAAUAAGAUGAUGCAUUUAUUAAUAACGUACAAGAUUAUUCUACCAGAGACCAUAUUGUUCUUUUUGGUUUGUGUGCUGCAAAAGCAAGAGAAGCAAAUCCACACUCUUGCUAGGUAAAGAUGCUAACAUUUACAAGCAGGUGAGCAUGGAUAAAAGAGAAUAUGAUGAUGCUUUUAUUAAUAACGUACAGGAUUAUUCUACCAGAGACCAUAUUGUUCUUUUUGGUUUGUGUGCUGCAAAAGCAAGAGAAGCAAAUGCACCAUAGCAGUGACAGUGUGCAGAGGAGGAAUAAAGGAAUAAUGUGUUCAUGAUUUAUGAAAUGUAGGCAUUGCAAGUGAGGUCCCUUGCCAAAUGAAUAGCAAAUGUAUCAUCAUGUUUAUGAUAAUGAUGAUGGCAAAAGUUUCAGGAGACAGGGCAGAGAGGCUCACUUAGCAGCAUCAUUGGAAGCAUCAACAGAUUCCUACUUGCAGAAGGUGGUGAAGGUGAGAAGAAAGCUAUUAUUGUAGAUCAAGUGAUGGUCAAACAUGUAGAACUCAGACCAGAAGAUAAGCAUAUACAAAAUAAGAUUCAAAAACCCAAUUCACAACGAAGCGCGUCACAAUGAUUGAUCAGCCAUUAAUCCAACGCAAACAUGAACCGCGUUUAAGAAACUUACAGGGUUUAUAACAUCGAUCCAAUAUUUGGACUUCGACUCCACAAGCUCUCCUCCGAUGAGAUUCCGGACCUUCUG
Molecule: long non-coding RNA, 7313 nt
Filed under: Musa acuminata (dwarf banana)
Lineage: Eukaryota; Viridiplantae; Streptophyta; Magnoliopsida; Zingiberales; Musaceae
Description: long non-coding RNA (MACU_LNC002588)
Source: RNAcentral